GACGAACGCUGGCGGCGUGCCUAACACAUGCAAGUCGGGGAGAAAAGGGUAGCAAUAUCCUGAGUAAACCGGCGAACGGGUGAGUAACACGUAGGCAACUUACCUUGUGAACGGGAAUAACCCCGGGAACCGGAGCUAAUACCCGACUGUUGUUCCGAUGUAGCAUUGCAAUAGGAAUAAAAAGACCCGCCAAGGGUGGUCACAAGAUAGGCCUGCGUCCCAUUAGAUAGUUGGCGGGGUAACAGCCCACCCAAGUCGACGAUGGGUAGCUGGUCUGAGAGGACGAUCAGCCACACUGGAACUGAGACACGGUCCAGACUUCUACGGAAGGCAGCAGUGAGGAAUAUUGCUCAAUGGGCGAAAGCCUGAAGCAGCGACGCCGCGUGAAGGAUGAAAUCCGUUAGGAUGUAAACUUCUUUUGCGGGGAAGAAUGUGCGCCUUGGGCGCAUUGACGGUA
This 457-nucleotide ribosomal RNA is filed under the name uncultured bacterium. RNAcentral describes it as "bacterial SSU rRNA". It matches the Rfam family "Bacterial small subunit ribosomal RNA", at positions 28 to 477 of the family's 1533-position model. The record is from RNAcentral.